RNAcentral lists this ribosomal RNA (376 nucleotides) under uncultured bacterium. RNAcentral's name for it is "bacterial SSU rRNA". It matches the Rfam family "Bacterial small subunit ribosomal RNA", at positions 524 to 898 of the family's 1533-position model. The record is from RNAcentral.
UACGUAGGGGGCAAGCGUUGUCCGGAUUUAUUGGGCGUAAAGAGCGUGUAGGCGGCCUGAAAGGUCAGCUGUGAAAACUCGAGGCUCAACCUCGAGACGUCGGUUGAAACCAUCUGGCUAGAGUCCGGAAGAGGAGUGUGGAAUUCCCGGUGUAGCGGUGAAAUGCGCAGAUAUCGGGAAGAACACCCGUGGCGAAGGCGGCACUCUGGGACGGUACUGACGCUGAGACGCGAAAGCGUGGGGAGCGAACAGGAUUAGAUACCCUGGUAGUCCACGCUGUAAACGAUGGGUGCUAGGUGUGGGGGGUGUCGACUCCCUCCGUGCCGAAGCUAACGCAUUAAGCACCCCGCCUGGGGAGUACGGCCGCAAGGCUAAA